CUUGCCGGUGCGGUAAUAGUUGAGCACGUAAGCAAAGACGCCCGGGUGCCGGUCGAAGAAGAACUCGCAGCUCCCGCCGCCGCUGCUGCCGCUGCCGCCUGCACCGCCGCCAUCGGACUCGGGUCGGCCCCCGCCGUCGGGAUCCGCCAGCCAGGCGAGGCGAGUGCCCGGUAGGGUGCGCAGGGUGCUGCGGUAGGUCUCAUGUCGCGUGCCGCCCACGUUGAUGAUGAUCUUCUCCGACGCCUCGCCCUUGGCCAUCUCCUCCUUCAGACAUGUUUUGGACGGAGGCUUGUUCCCCGACUUGCGCCCACGCUUCAGGCAGCCUCCAUGUCCAUCUGGAUGACGUAAGGAGGAUUUUAAGGCAGAAAUACAAGGCAACUGACACCUGCUUCCGACACCUGCGUACCAUCCAACUUCCAGGCUAUCGUGGGAAAACAAGACAACGUCCUGGUGUGCUCCACAGAAAGGUUAAAAGCUUGGAGCAAAUGCAAGGGAUUGUCUGCAAAAGUCUCAUUAAUGAGGUCAGAAAACCAAAGUGACUAUGGUCUUUGAGGAUUUGUACUAAUAUGCAGAGGAGGUGGGUAUUGCCCUGGACUGUAGCCAGAAACACACAUUUGCUGGCACCUCUUUUGUGUCCGGUCCUUAAUGUCCGCAUUUCAGACUUUGGCUGGCUUUGGCUUUGCUGCAGCAAAGAAGAAAUAUCCCAAGUGUGACUGGGAAGAGAAGACCUGGGACUGGCCAGAAGCCGGAGUGAGAGAGGAAGAGCUGUAGCACAGAUGUUAAAGAAUUGACAGAUGAACAGCUUUCCAGUUGUGUCCUGGCAGACUCCCUUGGGGUCUCUCCCACUUUGCAUUUUUCAGACUGGCUGAAUUCAGUCAUUCCAAGAAGAGUGAGAAAUUGAAGGGAGUCGGGUGUUGGGGGGAAUGAAAAAAACCAACAACAUCCUAGCAUCCCACAGGCAAGUCAUUUGUUUAUCCAGGGACUAUUUCUUGAGUACCUACUGUGUGCCAGAAGCUGUUCAGGCAAUGAAAUCAAUGAAUUAAACAGAACCCUACCUGCUCUGCUCCCCCCAA
Molecule: long non-coding RNA, 1073 nt
Organism: Suricata suricatta (meerkat)
Lineage: Eukaryota; Metazoa; Chordata; Mammalia; Carnivora; Herpestidae
Exons: 2
Source: RefSeq, a predicted model, not a curated record